GAUGAACGCUGGCGGCGUGCCUAAUACAUGCAAGUCGAGCGAACAGACGAGGAGCUUGCUCCUCUGACGUUAGCGGCGGACGGGUGAGUAACACGUGGAUAACCUACCUAUAAGACUGGGGUAACUUCGGGAAACCGGAGCUAAUACCGGAUAAUAUAUUGAACCGCAUGGUUCAAUAGUGAAAGACGGUUUUGCUGUCACUUAUAGAUGGAUCCGCGCCGCAUUAGCUAGUUGGUAAGGUAACGGCUUACCAAGGCAACGAUGCGUAGCCGACCUGAGAGGGUGAUCGGCCACACUGGGACUGAGACACGGUCCAGACUCCUACGGGAGGCAGCAGUAGGGAAUCUUCCGCAAUGGGCGAAAGCCUGACGGAGCAACGCCGCGUGAGUGAUGAAGGUCUUCGGAUCGUAAAACUCUGUUAUUAGGGAAGAACAAAUGUGUAAGUAACUAUGCACGUCUUGACGGUACCUAAUCAGAAAGCCACGGCUAACUACGUG
Molecule: ribosomal RNA, 497 nt
Filed under: uncultured bacterium
Lineage: Bacteria
Description: partial 16S ribosomal RNA
Rfam family: Bacterial small subunit ribosomal RNA
Source: RNAcentral